GAUGAACGCUGGCGGCGUGCCUAAUACAUGCAAGUCGAGCGAACAGACGAGGAGCUUGCUCCUCUGACGUUAGCGGCGGACGGGUGAGUAACACGUGGAUAACCUACCUAUAAGACUGGGAUAACUUCGGGAAACCGGAGCUAAUACCGGAUAAUAUAUUGAACCGCAUGGUUCAAUAGUGAAAGACGGUUUUGCUGUCACUUAUAGAUGGAUCCCCGCCGCAUUAGCUAGUUGGUAAGGUAACGGCUUACCAAGGCAACGAUGCGUAGCCGACCGGAGAGGGGGGUCGGCGACACUGGAACUGGGACAGGGUCCAGACGCCUACGGGAGGCAGCAGUAGGGAAUCGUCCGCAAUGGGCGAAAGCCUGACGGAGCAAGGCCGCGUGAGUGAUGAAGGUGUUCGGAUCGUAAAACUCUGUUAUGAGGGAAGAACAAAUGUGUAAGUAACUAUGCACGUCUUGACGGUACCUAAUCAGAAAGCCACGGCUAACUACGUG
RNAcentral lists this ribosomal RNA (497 nucleotides) under uncultured bacterium. Its description in RNAcentral is "partial 16S ribosomal RNA". It matches the Rfam family "Bacterial small subunit ribosomal RNA", at positions 28 to 507 of the family's 1533-position model. The record is from RNAcentral.